Molecule: ribosomal RNA, 637 nt
Filed under: uncultured bacterium
Lineage: Bacteria
Description: bacterial SSU rRNA
Rfam family: Bacterial small subunit ribosomal RNA
Source: RNAcentral
GCUUAACCGAAGAAGUGCAUCGGAAACUGGGGAACUUGAGUGCAGAAGAGGACAGUGGAACUCCAUGUGUAGCGGUGGAAUGCGUAGAUAUAUGGAAGAACACCAGUGGCGAAGGCGGCUGUCUAGUCUGCAACUGACGCUGAGGCUCGAAAGCAUGGGUAGCGAACAGGAUUAGAUACCCUGGUAGUCCAUGCCGUAAACGAUGAGUGCUAGGUGUUGGAGGGUUUCCGCCCUUCAGUGCCGCAGCUAACGCAUUAAGCACUCCGCCUGGGGAGUACGACCGCAAGGUUGAAACUCAAAGGAAUUGACGGAGGCCCGCACAAGCGGUGGAGCAUGUGGUUUAAUUCGAAGCUACGCGAAGAACCUUACCAGGUCUUGACAUCUUCUGCCAAUCUUAGAGAUAAGACGUUCCCUUCGGGGACAGAAUGACAGGUGGUGCAUGGUUGUCGUCAGCUCGUGUCGUGAGAUGUUGGGUUAAGUCCCGCAACGAGCGCAACCCUUAUUAUCAGUUGCCAGCAUUCAGUUGGGCACUCUGGUGAGACUGCCGGUGACAAACCGGAGGAAGGUGGGGAUGACGUCAAAUCAUCAUGCCCCUUAUGACCUGGGCUACACACGUGCUACAAUGGACGGUACAACG